CCUACGGGUGGCAGCAGUGAGGAAUAUUGGUCAAUGGGCGAAAGCCUGAACCAGCCAAGUAGCGUGAAGGAUGAAUGCCCUACGGGUUGUAAACUUCUUUUAUAAAGGAAUAAAGUGAGGCACGUGUGCCUUUUUGUAUGUACUUUAUGCAUACGAGUAGGCUAACUCCGUGCCAGCAGCCGCGGUAAUACGGAGGAUCCGAGCGUUAUCCGGAUUGAUUGGGUUUAAAGGGAGCGUAGAUGGGUUGUUAAGUCAGUUGUGAAAGUUUGCGGCUCAACCGUAAAAAUGCUAUUGAUACUGUCAGUCUUGAGUACAGUUGAGGUAGGCGGAAUUCGUGGUGUAGCGGUGAAAUGCUUAGAUAUCACGAAGAACUCCGAUUGCGAAGGCAGCUUACUAAACUGCCACUGACAUUGAUGCUCGAAAGUGUGGGUAUCAAACAGGAUUAGAUACCCCAGUAGUC
RNAcentral lists this ribosomal RNA (460 nucleotides) under uncultured bacterium. RNAcentral's name for it is "partial 16S ribosomal RNA". It matches the Rfam family "Bacterial small subunit ribosomal RNA", at positions 338 to 795 of the family's 1533-position model. The record is from RNAcentral.